This 289-nucleotide ribosomal RNA is filed under the name uncultured bacterium. RNAcentral's name for it is "partial 16S ribosomal RNA". It matches the Rfam family "Bacterial small subunit ribosomal RNA", at positions 334 to 640 of the family's 1533-position model. The record is from RNAcentral.
UCUUCCUACGGGAGGCAGCAGUAGGGAAUAUUGCUCAAUGGGGGAAACCCUGAAGCAGCAACGCCGCGUGGAGGAUGAAGGUUUUCGGAUUGUAAACUCCUUUUGUUAGAGAAGAUAAUGACGGUAUCUAACGAAUAAGCACCGGCUAACUCCGUGCCAGCAGCCGCGGUAAUACGGAGGGUGCAAGCGUUACUCGGAAUCACUGGGCGUAAAGAGCGCGUAGGCGGGAUAGCAAGUCAGAUGUGAAAUCCUGUAGCUUAACUACAGAACUGCAUUUGAAACUGUUACU